AGACUUUGAUCCUGGCUCAGGACGAACGCUGGCGGCAUGCCUAACACAUGCAAGUCGAACGGACUUUUUUAUGGAAUUUCCUUCGGGAAGGGAAAUAUGAAAGUUAGUGGCGGACGGGUGAGUAACGCGUGGAUAACCUGCCCAUAGGUUGGGGACAACUCCGGGAAACCGGAGCUAAUACCGAAUAAUAUUGCUUAUUCGCAUGAGUAAGUAAUCAAAGGGGGCCUCUCGAAGAAGCUUCUGUCUAUGGAUGGAUCCGCGUCUGAUUAGCUAGUUGGUAGGGUAGAGGCCUACCAAGGCAACGAUCAGUAGCCGGCCUGAGAGGGUGAACGGCCACACUGGGACUGAGACACGGCCCAGACUCCUACGGGAGGCAGCAGUGGGGAAUCUUCCGCAAUGGGCGAAAGCCUGACGGAGCAAUGCCGCGUGAAUGAAGAAGGCCUUCGGGUUGUAAAGUUCUGUUAAGAAGGAAGAAAGGUAUUGAGGAUAAUACCCUUAGUAUUUGACGGUACUUUUUGAGGAAGCCCCGGCGUAA
RNAcentral lists this ribosomal RNA (535 nucleotides) under uncultured Desulfonispora sp. RNAcentral describes it as "bacterial SSU rRNA". It matches the Rfam family "Bacterial small subunit ribosomal RNA", at positions 8 to 501 of the family's 1533-position model. The record is from RNAcentral. Lineage: Bacteria; Bacillati; Bacillota; Clostridia; Eubacteriales; Peptococcaceae.